This 492-nucleotide ribosomal RNA is filed under the name uncultured bacterium. RNAcentral describes it as "partial 16S ribosomal RNA". It matches the Rfam family "Bacterial small subunit ribosomal RNA", at positions 29 to 507 of the family's 1533-position model. The record is from RNAcentral.
AGUGAACGCUGGCGGUAGGCCUAACACAUGCAAGUCGAACGGCAGCACAGUAAGAGCUUGCUCUUACGGGUGGCGAGUGGCGGACGGGUGAGGAAUACAUCGGAAUCUACUUUUUCGUGGGGGAUAACGUAGGGAAACUUACGCUAAUACCGCAUACGACCUACGGGUGAAAGCAGGGGAUCUUCGGACCUUGCGCGAUUGAAUGAGCCGAUGUCGGAUUAGCUAGUUGGCGGGGUAAAGGCCCACCAAGGCGACGAUCCGUAGCUGGUCUGAGAGGAUGGUCAGCCACACUGGAACUGAGACACGGGCAAGACUCCUAAGGGAGGCAGCAGUGGGGAAUAUUGGACAAUGGGCGCAAGCCUGAUCCAGCCAUACCGCGUGGGUGAAGAAGGCCUUCGGGUUGUAAAGCCCUUUUGUUGGGAAAGAAAAGCAGCAGGUUAAUACCCCGCUGUUCUGACGGUACCCAAAGAAUAAGCACCGGCUAACUUCGUG